Molecule: ribosomal RNA, 425 nt
Filed under: uncultured bacterium
Lineage: Bacteria
Description: bacterial SSU rRNA
Rfam family: Bacterial small subunit ribosomal RNA
Source: RNAcentral
AACGCGAAGAACCUUACCCAGGCUUGACAUCCUGCCAAUUUCUCCGAAAGGAGAGAGUGCCUUCGGGCCGCAGUGACAGGUGAUGCAUGGCCGUCGUCAGCUCGUGUCGUGAGAUGUUUGGUUAAGUCCAUCAACGAGCGCAACCCUUAUAGUUAGUUGUAUUUUCUAGCUAGACUGCCCUGGCAACAGGGAGGAAGGAGGGGAUGAUGUCAGGUCAGUAUUUCCCUUACGUCUGGGGCUACAAACACGCUACAAUGGCCGGUACAAAGGGCAGCCAAGUCGCGAGACGGAGCAAAUCCCAUCAAAGCCGGUCUCAGUUCGGAUUGCAGGCUGAAACUCGCCUGCAUGAAGCCGGAAUCGCUAGUAACGGUAGGUCAGCACACUACCGUGAAUACGUUCCCGGGCCUUGUACACACCGAGACGUA